UCUCAAGCUUGGCGUUUGUUUGGUGGGGUCCCACGCAAGUUCAACAAGCGAAUCGAGAAGUGUUAUUUCUGUUCGGGGCCCAUCUACCCUGGACACGGCAUGAUGUUCGUCCGCAACGAUUGCAAGGUGUUCAGAUUUUGCAAAUCUAAAUGUCAUAAAAACUUUAAAAAGAAGCGCAAUCCUCACAAAGUUAGGUGGACCAAAGCAUUCUGGAAAGCAGCUGGCAAAGAGCUUACAGUGGAUAAUUCAUUUGAAUUUGAAAAACGUAGAAAUGAACCUAUCAAAUACCAGCAAGAGCUAUGGAAUAAGACUGUUGAUGCAAUGAAGAGAGUUGAAGAGAUCAAACAGAAAUGCCAAGCUAAAUUUAUAAUGAACAGAUUGAAGAAAAAUAAAGAGCUAUAGAAAGUUCAGGAUAUCAAAGAAGUCAAGCAAAACAUCCAUCUUAUCCGAGCCCCUCUUGCAGGCAAAGGGAAGCAGUUGGAAGAGAAAAUGGUACAGCAGUUACAAGAGGAUGUGGACAUGGAAGAUGCUCCUUAAAAAUCUCUGUAACCAUUUCUUUUGUGCACAUUUGAAAAUGCCCUUUGGAUACUUGGAACUGCUAAAUUAUUUUAUUUUUUACAUAAGGUCACUUAAAUGAAAAGCGAUUAAAAUACAUCUUUCCUACAUUGCCAUCUACUUAACAUCAGAUAAUACGGAUGUUAGAUUGCAUCUCAGUGUUAAAUCUUCACUGAUAGAUGUACUUAAGUAAAUCAAGAAAAUUCUUCUUAUAACUAUAGAAGUGAAUUGUGGAUGUAAAAUGGUUAUGCCAUUUGGAUAAUGGCACUAGGCAGCAUUUGUAUAGUAACUAAUGGCAAAAAUUCAUGGCUAGUGAUGUAUAAAAUAAAAUAUUCUUUGCAGUAAAAUAUUUCCUUUGUUAAUGUUAUAGAAGGGAGGGAUACAAGAAGGAACUAACAAUUUGUAUGGCAGUGUCAGAUAUUAUUUUAAUUUUGUUAUUUCCUGUUUUGGUUUAUUUGCAUCUUAGAAGAGCAUACUGACAUUGUUUGAUGAAGCCUAAAUUAUGCUGGACUGUUUUGACCCUUUUGAUAGGUAGUUGUGGAUGUUGGGGAUGAGAACUGAAUAAUCUUUGCCUGGAGUGACACUACACUCUAGAAUUUCCACUUUGGAGAAUAUUCAGUUCUAACUUGUGAUUCCUGGUAGAACAAACUUUAUUUUUCUAGCCCAGCAAUGAUCUAGAAGCAGAGGAAUCCCAGCGCCUUUGAAAAGUUAUUAUGUGGUUUUCUUUUAAAAAGCUCCUGUUUUUGGAAAGUAGAAUUUGUGGGUACAACAUAUGUUCAUUAUUUGUACAUAAAAUAAAACCAUUUAAAAAGUAAAAAAAA
Molecule: RNA transcript, 1376 nt
Organism: Piliocolobus tephrosceles (Ugandan red Colobus)
Lineage: Eukaryota; Metazoa; Chordata; Mammalia; Primates; Cercopithecidae
Gene name: probable ribosome biogenesis protein RLP24 pseudogene
Exons: 1
Source: RefSeq, a predicted model, not a curated record